This 859-nucleotide small RNA is filed under the name Pongo abelii (Sumatran orangutan). RNAcentral's name for it is "processed transcript". The record is from RNAcentral. Lineage: Eukaryota; Metazoa; Chordata; Mammalia; Primates; Hominidae.
GGGUUUCACCGUGUUAGCCAGGAUGGUCUCAAUCUGACCUUGUGAUCCACCCGCCUCGGCCUCCCAAAGUACUGGGAUUACAGGCAUGGGCCACCGCACCCGGCCCUUAGUUAAUUUCUGAACCAGGAAAUUGGACUCUGGGGUCUGUAGGAAACGACUGGGGAUUCAGCAACCUGCCAAAUUGAGCCUUGGAGCAGCUCUGAGAUGUUAGCUGUGGAGAAGGAGGCCCCUGCUUCCUGGGGCCCAUUGUCCGUUCCCAAAAGUGCUGAGUGUUGUGGGCUCUUCAAGAGCUGCGGUCAACACCAGCUCCAGGCCUCGGGCUGGAGGCCUCUUCAGCAAGUGCCGCAGGGAGGCCCUGGGUGGGUGAGCCGGGAGGUUGAAUUGCUUAGCAGCUCUCUAUCCAUUGCUGCGGUCAUUAGCCAUGGCGAGGGUCACGGGGGCUGUAACGGGGCAAGCCUCCCGGGUUCCAGUUGCCAUCCUCACCCCUCUGGGCUCUUUCCUCCCUGGCUCUGCUGCAGCCGGAGCGGUUGCAGGGCACACAUUACUCGGUGCAGUCGGACAUCUGGAGCAUGGGCCUGUCCCUGGUGGAGCUGGCCAUCGGAAGGUACCCCAUCCCCCCGCCCGACGCCAAGGAGCUGGAGGCCAUCUUUGGCCGGCCCGUGGUCGACGGGGAAGAAGGAGAGCCUCACAGCAUCUCGCCUCGGCCGAGGCCCCCCGGGCGCCCCAUCAGCGGUCACGGGAUGGACAGCCGGCCCGCCAUGGCCAUCUUUGAACUGCUGGACUAUAUUGUGAACGAGCCACCUCCUAAGCUGCCCAACGGGGUGUUCACCCCCGACUUCCAGGAGUUUGUCAAUAAAUG